UCUGCUCUACGACCCGAGCUCCCUCCCUCUCUGUCGCUCUCUCUCCGGCCCGAGCUCCCUCCUCCUCCCACGCUCUGUCUUCGGCCCAAAAACUUUUUUGUCUCUAUGAAGGCCCUAGGUCUCUCCCUCUCUCUCUCUCUAACAAAAAAUAGCGCGGCCCGAGCCCAAACCCAGGAAGCCCGAGCUCGAUUUUUAGCUUAUCUUUCGGCCCCAAAUCAUCCCCAUCAAAGGUAUGAAAGAUUUUUUAUUUAUUUUCAUAAAAAAAUAUAGCACAUUUAUUUUAGAAAAUUGCUCAAAUCUGUUGUUGGGUCAUUGUUCGUCGAUUUUUGGUAUAUUUGAUCUGUUAUUGACAAUGAAGGGAUGGAUUGCUCAUGGAUUAAGAUUUAUUGAAGUUUUUCUUAUUAAAUUUUUAUGGAGUUUGUCAUUUUUUAUCUAUUGUCAUUUUAGGGUUUAAAUGUACUUGGUGGUAGUAAAUUUGUUAAAAUUUAGUUAUUAAGAAAAAUAUGCCUAGCUAUUGUUAAUUUUUUUUUAAUAGUAGUUACGAUAGCUUCAAUUUCUCAAUUUGUCUUCUUGCUAUGAUAGCUUUGAUGCAAUAAUAGUUUUUGUCAAUAUUGUGUCACUACUCACUGAAUACAAGCAACAAAUGCAAGCACUAGACAAAGUGCAUAUGCUCGACAAGACUCUCAAAAUCUCAAACUAAUCUUAGCAAUAGUUUGGAAAGAAUAUAAUUUCAUCCUUAAAAACAUUCUUUGUAGGGUUAAUUUUUGGGAGGAUUUAUAUAGUUUGGGUUUUUUCAAAUUUAAAAAGCAUUUCUUAAAAUUUUAGGUGAAAAAAGGAAUAAAUUCAAAAGGUUCAUAAUAAUUAAAAUAAGAAUGACAUAAAAGGAAAAUUGUUAUUUUAUUCGCCUUUUCAAUAUUUAAGUGUGUGUCUAGGAUUAUCUUGUGUUACUUGUGAAAUUCUAACUACAUGUUUCCUAUGAAUAAAUCUUUUAUUUAAACAUAUGCAUAGAAGAUUUUUGCAAGGAGUAUAAAAAGAAAUUGGUGGUGGUGCAAUUGGACACUUGAUAACUAUGGGUAAUUGAGACUUUUGUCUUGAACUAUAAUUUUGUGGUUUAGGCCUAAUUGAUUUACGUUAGUGCUAUAUAAAAUCGUCACUAAGAACUAUACAAAAUAAGAAAUUGGCUAAAAUCGUUAAGAUUGCAUUAUUCAAAUAAUCAUUGGGUUUGUUUAUCUGUGGAGUGUAAAUUAUUACAAAUCUUGUGUAGGAGAAAAGAAAAUGAGUGAUAGCAGAUUGAUUUAUUGUAUUUUUUGUGGAGAACUCCAAUCAAAUGUCUAUGGGACUUUGGAUUAUAUUGGUGGGGAUACAGUUACAUUUAUUAAUGAAAUUAGAACUAGGUUAGAUGACCUGCGAAAAUAUGUAGCAGAGCGUUUCUCGCUAGACAGACACUUGAUAUCAUUGAGGUAUUUUGUCCUGAGAAAUAGAAGAUUUAUUGUGAAUCUAUUCAUUGAUGAUGAUAUUGAGAAGAUGUUGAAUGCACAUGAAGGCGAGAAUAAUCUCUUCGUUUAUAUAUUUGAUGGGAGUGAACAAAGGGGUGGAAGUACUUCACGUAAUACUAGGGCAAUCGAAGAGGUCAAAUCCCCCCAAUCCUCUUAUGUUUUGGCCUCUGGUUCCGAACAAAGCAAUGCACUAAGGUUGCUUAGUUCAUGGGAGGAUGCACUUACCGGUAUAGGGCAACAAUUUGAAGCUCUAGAUGACUUCCGAGAAGCCCUUAGUAAGUUUGCUAUAGCACACCAUUUCACAUACUGUCUUGUUAAAAAUGAGGGGUAUCGCAUAAGAGCGAAAUGCAAGGGUGAUGGUGCAAAUGGGAGAUAUAUGCUUCGAAGUUUGGCAGAACGAAUGUUUUUAGCAUCAAAACAUGAAUAAGAGAACACUCAUGUAAUAUUGGGACAUGCAAUGAUGUACAGAGAAGUGCGUCACAAAAAUUUAUUGUAUUAUUAAUCAAGGAUAAAUUAAGUGACACUUCGCAUUACAAGGCUAAAGAAAUCAUGAAUUAUUUGUCUCAAGAUUAUGGGUGAGAAAUACCCUAUUGCAAGGCUUGGCGAGGGAAAGAAACGGCCAUCAAAGACAUACAUGGUUCGCAAGAGGAGACAUACAACCAGUUACCCGCAUAUAUAACUGUGUGAUGGAGACGAAUCCUGAUAGUUAUGCGAUAGGACAAGUAUGACAAGAUGACAGAUUUCGUCGAAUGUUCUUAAGCUUUUAUGGCUCAAUACAUGGUUUCAAAAGUAGAUGUCAUCCACUUCUAUUUCUCGAUGUGACAUCAUUGAAGGUACGAUACCUCAAAACUUUACCUGCUGCCAACUCAUUCGAUGGGGAAGAACAAAUGUUUCCUGUUGCAUUUGCUAUUGUGGAUGCCAAAAGUACCGAAAACUAGUUAUGAUUUAUAGAAUCUCUAAAGAUUGCUAUUGGGACAAAUCUUGAAAUCACUUUUUGUCAGAUAGAUACCCUGACCUAGGUGAUACUGUCUGUCAAGUUUUUGAGAAUGCCCAUCAUGCCUUCUGUGAGUGUCAUUUAGUGGAGAAUUUUAAGAAGGAAAUAUUAAGAAGGCAGUUGUAAAAUAUUUUGUCGGAGCAUAUAGAACGUACAGGAUGCAAGAGUAUUUUGAUAAUAUGAGUGAAAUUAGGUUAAUUUUUGAGGACACAUUCAAGUUGUUCAUGGAAGCAUCGCCAGACCAUUGGGUCAGAUCACUCUUCAGGGGUAAACGAUAAUCAAGUAUCAACCAAUGUGAUUGAGUCAUAUAACAAGUGGAUUCUAAAAGUACGAGACAUGUCAAUUCUCCAGUGCGUUGACUUGAUUAGAAGACAAAUCAUUAAACUAAUGGCCACCCACAGCUUGGAAGUCAAAACCUAGACUAUAACAGUUACCCCACACGAGCAAAAUGAACUGAGAAAGACCAUAAACCAAUCCCUUUUCUGUUACACUGUAUCAAGUGAAGUAGUGUUUGAAGCAAUGGGUGAUCAUAUGAAUUAUAAAGUAAAUAUAAUUGCACGAGAAUGUGAAUAUCAGGGGUAGCAAAUAAAGGGUUUGCCCUACAAGCAUGCUUGUAAAAGCUUUCAAUGGAUGAAUAGGGACCCUGUUGACAAUUGUGAAGACUAUUUCACGGUUGCAAAUUUUCGUGAAACAUAUUCUGAAUCUAUCGUAUCAGUUGCCUUGAGCGAUCUAUCUGGGCAUAAACGUUGACAACUUCCUUUAUAUGGAAUCAGACUACUUCUACCUCACUCAAGACAAUAAACUGGUUAACCUAAAAAAAAGCACAUCGAGUCGCAGGAAGUACCAAUGCAACCUAUUUACUGUAGUAGGUGAAAAGGAACUAGUCACAACAAGGCAAUAUGUAAAGCACCCACUUGAAGGCCCAUAUUUGUACUAUCUUCUUUAUUCUGUCUUUUAAAAUUGUAGCACCUACUUGUGAGAAAUUUUCUCAAUACAUAUAUUAAUGGUGUUUGUUAUAGUGUUUGUAUGACUUUUGUUCAUUUCGCGAUAUUCUUGUAUAUAUAUUGGAUACGCCACUUUUCUCUCUCUUUUUUUAUUGGAUAUGCUACUUGCGGUUUUUUUUAUGCCAAGUAUGAAAAUAGAAUUAGCAAUGUAAGACUCGGAACAACUAAGAGGCAUAGGGGAGCCAUCCACUUCAUCAGGUCAAAGGCAAGAGGUACGAUGAUUUAUUUGUUUUAGUUAAUGAUUUAUAUUAAUUAGGUAUUUCUCAUGUUAUUAACUAUUGUCAUUUCUUGUUAAUUUUCAUUUAGGAGAGAAAUAUACUUCGUAUUGAUAAAUCAACUCAAGCCCUAGCAAAAUGAAAGCUCGAUCAACGACAUGUACCUCUAAUUCAAAAGACUGGGUUGAGCCCAUUGAUGGAUGUUAGGGUCUUGCAUAUCGAUUGCAAUCUAGUGAGUGCAUUUAUAGGGAAAUGGUACAAGAACACGAAUAAUGCAUUUCUAAGUAUCGGUGAAAUGACUCCAACCCUAUAUGAUGUGUGAUAGAUAUUAAGGAUACCCGUGACGGGUGAACUUGUAAUUGGCAUUAAGCCUGAAAAGUAUGUGCUUUCGUCAAAGAGUAUCUGGAAGAUUUCCUUAAAGAUGUUUCCCCGAUGCGUCUCAAUCAUACAUGGUUGAGGAGUAGAUUUGGCAAACUACUAAAAAGGCCCACUAAAUUACAACUCACGCAACACACACGAGCAUAUGUCCUUUAUUUAGUCGGCCCAACUAUAUUUGUCGACUCAUCUAAAGGAUCAACACUUACAAUAUACCUGCAAUUCUUUCGAGAUUUUGAUGAGGCAUGGAACUAUGCAUGGGGUAUUGCGGUGCUUGCUUUCUUGUAUCAUUCCUUGUUUAAGGUCGCGAGUGGGAAAAAUAAUCAUUUUAGUGGUGUUGGAUCUAUGAGCUUUUUUAGCUCUAGCCACUAAGCCUACAUUGGUCAUCAACCCAAGAAUGCCUAAGGCUUGCAUGUGGAAGAAACAAGUAUGUCACAAAAACAUCUCAUUUGAUAUGGUGAUCUAGCAACCGUAUGAGGAGUCGCAUAAAAUUGCAAAGUAGUUCAUGUGUCGAUCAUACCUCAUAAGUUUCAACAGUGCUGAGUAUUAUAUGCCCGAUCGCGUGUUGCGACAAUUUGGAAAGUUGUAAAGUAAUCCUGUUAUGCCACCCAAGUGGGAUAGGAGGGAGAAGGUCAGUAUAUACCCCACAAAUUGGACUGAAAAAUUGGGUAGGCAGAUAAAAGAUUGGAAACAACGAGAAUGUAAUGUUGUCAAGGCAGCCUUGGAUAGAUCUGGUGGAGUACAUACAGAAGAGUACAUGGCCUGCUACAACAUGUUUAUACAAAGAUUUAGAAAAAGCCCCCUCUGCCUCCCGUCGCAGUCACAAUCUCAUGUACAACCCUCUGGAGGCUCGCCUUAAAAAAAAACUAUUUACCUUGGGGGUUUUCCAUAGAAAGUUAUUGUGGGGAAAAAAGAGAGAAAAAACGGUUUGGAUGGGAGUAAAUUGCACAUAUAGUGUAUUUUGAA
Amborella trichopoda is the source of this 5050-nucleotide non-coding RNA. Lineage: Eukaryota; Viridiplantae; Streptophyta; Magnoliopsida; Amborellales; Amborellaceae. The record is from RefSeq and is a predicted model, not a curated record.